CCCUCUGGGGUGCAGCAGGGAUGAAGAAGAGCGUCAUGUUCGACAGCAGGAAGUUGCCCACGUCCUGGAUCUGCUCGAGCUUGAGCACGCCGGUGCUGAGAAGCACGAACAGCACCAACAUGCCGAGCACGCUGCCCGGAAAGUUGACCGGGACCACGGCCAUCACGGCCUCGCAGGCAACGUAGAUGGCCAGGAUGAUGCCCAGCUGCUUCAACAGUUUCAUGAUCGCUCCACACUCCUGAUGCUCGGUGAUCCGAUCAGCCUAAGCGCCCCGGCCGAGUGCGCAGCGC
This 290-nucleotide ribosomal RNA is filed under the name uncultured prokaryote. Its description in RNAcentral is "partial 16S ribosomal RNA". The record is from RNAcentral.